CCCCUGUGCCACACUGUCCAUUUCUACCGAGAAGCUAGGGAUCCACUUUCUUAUAAAAGUUCAGAUAAAUUUGGAUUUGGACUCACACUCAACUCCACCAGAACAGUCCACCAAGUUUCUCAGAUCAGGAGGACUUUGAGUUUCUCAAGGUUUGAAGCCUUUCUUAUGCUUUAUAUGAGAUCUCUGCCUGCUGUAAAUAAGUCUGCUGUGGGAGAGUACAGAUGCCUGAUGAUCCAUACCAGGACGGUCAUCCCUCAGAAAGAAAUACCACCUGCACAUUCCUGCCUGCUAUGGGAAACUGGAACGCCUGUGAUUUACUUCUCAGCCAACCUUUCCUCCUCUUGUACUCCUGUACAAAAAUAUGGAAGCAGUAUGCUUUUGCACUCAGGUCGUGCUUGCAGUCUUCCCAUGGGCAUCUGGUUGGCCACUGAGAGAACAGGAUACUGGACUAGAUGGGAAGUGUGAAUUUCAAAGGAUGGCUAUGUUUCAGUUGAUGUGUGGUUCUGGAAAGUGCAAAUUAGGAUCAAGUAGAAGAUGAUGGAAAAGAUCUCCACUGGAGAUCACUGGAGAAGACUGUGGAGAACCAACUACCAAUCAGAGAAGACAAUAUUGGGUUAGACUGACAAAUAGUCUGACCUGGGAUAAGGAAGCUACCUGUGUAACUUUAGUCUUCAUAGGCCUUAAAUUGUUUUUGUAAAAAACAAAACGCCAAUA
This is a long non-coding RNA of Rhineura floridana, 714 nucleotides long. RefSeq lists it as uncharacterized. The record is from RefSeq and is a predicted model, not a curated record. Lineage: Eukaryota; Metazoa; Chordata; Lepidosauria; Squamata; Rhineuridae. The transcript has 4 exons.